Molecule: non-coding RNA, 975 nt
Organism: Microcebus murinus (gray mouse lemur)
Lineage: Eukaryota; Metazoa; Chordata; Mammalia; Primates; Cheirogaleidae
Source: Ensembl
AUACAGGUUUGGUCCUAGCCUUAUUAUUAGUUGUCAGUAAGCCUACACAUGCAAGUAACCGCAUACCAGUGAGAAUGCCCUCUAGAUAUUCUUAAUUAUAAUCAUUAUCAACAGGAGCGGGUAUCAAGCACACUAACAUAGCAGCUCAUAACACCUUGCUAAACCACUCCCCCACGGGUUACAGCAGUGACAAAACUUAAGCAAUAAACGAAAGUUUGACUAAGUUAUACUGAUAAAAUAAGGGUUGGUAAAUUUCGUGCCAGCCACCGCGGUCAUACGAUUAACCCAAACUAAUAAUUUACGGCGUAAAGUGUGUUUAAGAUAAACUAUAAAUAAAGUUAAAUUUUAUCUAAGCUGUAAAAAGCUCCAGCUAAAAUAAAAAUAACCCACGAAAGUGACUUUAAUACAUCUGAAGCCACGACAGCCAAGAUCCAAACUGGGAUUAGAUACCCCACUAUGCUUGGCCCUAAACUUAAGUAAUUCAAUAAUAAACAAUAUUACUCGCCAGAGAACUACAAGCAAUAGCUUAAAACUCAAAGGACUUGGCGGUGCUUUACAUCCACCUAGAGGAGCCUGUUCUAUAAUCGAUAAACCCCGUUAAACCUCACCACCUCUUGCUAAUACAACCUAUAUACCGCCAUCCUCAGCAAACCCUACUAAGGCUGUAAAGUAAGCACAAACAUAUGACAUAAAAACGUUAGGUCAAGGUGUAGUCCAUGAGGUGGAAAGAAAUGGGCUACAUUUUCUUACAACAGAACAAUAAUCACAGUAAUCUUUAUGAAACGAAAGACCAAAGGAGGAUUUAGUAGUAAGUUAAGAAUAGAGUGCUUAGCUGAAUAAGGCCAUGAAGCGCGCACACACCGCCCGUCACCCUCCUCAAAUACAACCCAUCUAUUUCCUAAUAACAACUUUUAAUUUAUAAGAGGAGACAAGUCGUAACAAGGUAAGCGUACUGGAAAGUGUGCUUGGAAUAUU